UAGGGAAUUUUCCACAAUGGGCGAAAGCCUGAUGGAGCAACGCCGCGUGCAGGAUGAAUGCCUUCGGGUUGUAAACUGCUUUUAUCUGUGACGAAUAUGACGGUAGCAGAUGAAUAAGGAUCGGCUAACUCCGUGCCAGCAGCCGCGGUCAUACGGAGGAUCCAAGCGUUAUCCGGAAUUACUGGGUGUAAAGAGUUGCGUAGGUGGCAUAGUAAGUAGAUAGUGAAAGCGUGCGGCUCAACCGCAUACACAUUAUCUAAACUGCUAAGCUAGAAGAUGAGAGAGGUCACUGGAAUUCCCUGUGUAGGAGUGAAAUCCGUAGAUAUAGGGAGGAACACCGAUGGCGUAGGCAGGUGACUGGCUCAUUCUUGACACUAAGGCACGAAAGCGUGGGGAGCAAACGGG
Molecule: ribosomal RNA, 405 nt
Filed under: Actinomycetes bacterium
Lineage: Bacteria; Bacillati; Actinomycetota; Actinomycetes
Description: Actinobacteria bacterium partial 16S ribosomal RNA
Rfam family: Bacterial small subunit ribosomal RNA
Source: RNAcentral